Molecule: ribosomal RNA, 309 nt
Filed under: Chryseobacterium sp.
Lineage: Bacteria; Pseudomonadati; Bacteroidota; Flavobacteriia; Flavobacteriales; Weeksellaceae
Description: bacterial SSU rRNA
Source: RNAcentral
GGGUCCGUAGGCGGACCUGUAAGUCWGUGGUGAAAUCUCAUAGCUUAACUAUGAAACUGCCAUUGAUACUGCAGGWCUUGAGUAAAUUUGAAGUGGCUGGAAUAASUAGUGUAGCGGUGAAAUGCAUAGAUAUUACUUAGAACACCAAUUGCGAAGGCAGGUCACUAAGAUUUAACUGACGCUGAUGGACGAAAGCGUGGGUAGCGAACAGGAUUAGAUACCCUGGUAGUCCACSCCGUAAACGAUGCUAACUCGUUUUUGGAUUUUCGGAUUCARAGACCAAGCGAAAGUGAUAAGUUAGCCACCUGG